Pelobates cultripes (western spadefoot toad) is the source of this 285-nucleotide non-coding RNA. The record is from the annotation of a GenBank genome assembly. NCBI's taxonomy places the organism in Eukaryota, Metazoa, Chordata, Amphibia, Anura, Pelobatidae.
AGGGGUGACUAGUGACAUAGUGAGGAAGGGGGUGACACAGUGACAGGGUGAGAGGAAGGAAGGGGUGACUGGUGACAGAGUGAGGGGAUGACUGGUGACCACCUCCCUCACUCUGUCACCAGUCAUCCCCUCACUCUGUCACCAGUCAUCCCCUCACUCUGUCACCAGUCACCCCUUCCCUCCCUCUCUCUGUCACUAGUCACACCUUCCCUCUGUCACUAAUCACCACCUCCCUCACUCUGUCACUAGUCACCCCCUUCUUAACUCUGUCACUAGUCAUACCCU